RNAcentral lists this ribosomal RNA (501 nucleotides) under uncultured bacterium. RNAcentral's name for it is "partial 16S ribosomal RNA". It matches the Rfam family "Bacterial small subunit ribosomal RNA", at positions 33 to 541 of the family's 1533-position model. The record is from RNAcentral.
GACGAACGCUGGCGGCGUGCUUAACACAUGCAAGUCGAACGGAAAGGCCCUUCGGGGUACUCGAGUGGCGAACGGGUGAGUAACACGUGGGUGAUCUGCCCUGCACUUUGGGAUAAGCCUGGGAAACUGGGUCUAAUACCGAAUAGGACCACGCGCUUCAUGGUGUGUGGUGGAAAGCUUUUGCGGUGUGGGAUGGGCCCGCGGCCUAUCAGCUUGUUGGUGGGGUAAUGGCCUACCAAGGCGACGACGGGUAGCCGGCCUGAGAGGGUGACCGGCCACAGUGUGACUGCGCAGCGGCCAAGAGUCGAACGGGAGGAAGAGGGGGGAAAAGGAGACGAGAGGGAGCGAGGGAGAAGAGGGGGCGGCGCGUGGGGGAUGACGGCCUGCGAGUUGUACACCUAUUACAAUGGGGACGAAGAGAAGGUGAAGGUAACAAAAGAAGAAGCACCGACCAACUACGAGCCAGAAGCCGAGAAAUAAACGAAGAGCAAACGUCUGAAC